UACGUAGGGUGCGAGCGUUGUCCGGAAUUAUUGGGCGUAAAGAGCUCGUAGGCGGCUUGUCGCGUCGGAUGUGAAAGCCCGGGGCUUAACCCCGGGUCUGCAUUCGAUACGGGCAGGCUAGAGUUCGGUAGGGGAGAUCGGAAUUCCUGGUGUAGCGGUGAAGUGCGCAGAUAUCAGGAGGAACACCGGUGGCGAAGGCGGGUCUCUGGGCCGAUAUUGACGCGGAGGAGCGAAAGCGUGGGGAGCGAACAGG
This 253-nucleotide unclassified non-coding RNA is filed under the name uncultured Actinomycetes bacterium. RNAcentral's name for it is "uncultured actinobacterium contains 16S-23S intergenic spacer region". It matches the Rfam family "Bacterial small subunit ribosomal RNA", at positions 524 to 776 of the family's 1533-position model. The record is from RNAcentral. Lineage: Bacteria; Bacillati; Actinomycetota; Actinomycetes.